GGAUUAGAUACCCUGGUAGUCCACGCUGUAAACGAUGAAUACUAGCUGUUAGGACAUUGAGUCUUAGUAGCGUAGCUAACGCGAUAAGUAUUCCGCCUGGGGAGUACGGCCGCAAGGUUAAAACUCAAAGGAAUUGACGGGGGCCCGCACAAGCGGUGGAGCAUGUGGUUUAAUUCGAUGCAACGCGAAGAACCUUACCUACCCUUGACAUACUCGGAACUUUACAGAGAUGGAUUGGUGCCUUCGGGAACCGAGAUACAGGUGCUGCAUGGCUGUCGUCAGCUCGUGCCG
Molecule: ribosomal RNA, 291 nt
Filed under: uncultured bacterium
Lineage: Bacteria
Description: partial 16S ribosomal RNA
Rfam family: Bacterial small subunit ribosomal RNA
Source: RNAcentral